RNAcentral lists this ribosomal RNA (497 nucleotides) under uncultured bacterium. RNAcentral's name for it is "partial 16S ribosomal RNA". It matches the Rfam family "Bacterial small subunit ribosomal RNA", at positions 28 to 507 of the family's 1533-position model. The record is from RNAcentral.
GAUGAACGCUGGCGGCAUGCCUAACACAUGCAAGUCGAGCGAACGCACGCCUACCUUUCUCCUCUGGUGUUAGCCGCGUACGUAUUACUACCACAUGUAUCCCCUCCCUGUGAGUCUGGGAGCGCUUCGUUUGCUCGUACCUCAUACGAUCUACUAUUUUGAGCCGCGUGCUUCAAAACCUAGCGCCGGCCUUGCUGCCACUGAUAGAUUGAUCCGCGCUGCAUUAGCUAGUUGGUCAGGUAACGGCUUACCAAGGCGACGAUGCAUAGCCGACCUGAGAGGAUGAUCGGCCACACUGGAACUGAGACACGGUCCAGACUCCUACGGGAGGCAGCAGUAGGGAAUUUUCGGCAAUGGGCGAAAGCCUGACGGAGCAACGCCGCGUGAGGGAUGAAGGUCUUCGGAUCGUAAACUGCUGUUAUACGGAAAGAACAGAUGUGUAAGAAAACGGGCAGAUCAUGACGGUACCGUAUGAGAAAGCCCCGGCUAACUACGUG